CCUACGGGGGGCAGCAGUGAGGAAUAUUGGUCAAUGGUCGGGAGACUGAACCAGCCAAGCCGCGUGAGGGAUGAAGGUACAGAGUAUCGUAAACCUCUUUUGUCAGGGAACAAAGGCGGGGACGCGUCCCCGGAUGAGUGUACCUGAAGAAAAAGCAUCGGCUAACUCCGUGCCAGCAGCCGCGGUAAUACGGAGGAUGCGAGCGUUAUCCGGAUUUAUUGGGUUUAAAGGGUGCGCAGGCGGUCUGUUAAGCCAGCGGGAAAAGCCCGGGGUUCAACCCCGGACCGCCGUUGAAACUGGCAGUCUCGAGUUGGAGAGAAGUAUGCGGAAUGCGCGGUGUAGCGGUGAAAUGCAUAGAUAUCGCGCAGAACUCCGAUUGCGAAGGCAGCAUGCCGGCUCCACACUGACGCUGAGGCACGAAAGCGUGGGUAUCGAACAGGAUUAGAUACCCUUGUAGUC
This 459-nucleotide ribosomal RNA is filed under the name uncultured bacterium. RNAcentral's name for it is "partial 16S ribosomal RNA". It matches the Rfam family "Bacterial small subunit ribosomal RNA", at positions 338 to 795 of the family's 1533-position model. The record is from RNAcentral.